Halichondria panicea is the source of this 504-nucleotide long non-coding RNA. RefSeq lists it as uncharacterized. NCBI's taxonomy places the organism in Eukaryota, Metazoa, Porifera, Demospongiae, Suberitida, Halichondriidae. The transcript has 3 exons. The record is from RefSeq and is a predicted model, not a curated record.
GUUAUAAAACAGGGAAUGAGAAAUGAGGAAAUGAGAAAUGAGGAAAUGAGGAAAUGAGGAAAUAAGAAAUAGGAAAUGAGGAAAUGAAGAAAUGAGAACGAGAAAUGAGCUGUUAGGCAGAGCAUAUCUAUGGGCAGAGCAAGUCUGAAGACGAAGCUAACAUCUACUGUGCUACAGUCCCACAGUCUCAAACAAUUUACCUAUGCGUGGCUAUACUGGCAAUACAUUCACUGAUUUCACAAUCCGGUGGGCAAGUGAUAGUCAAUGGACUGGACUCAAUGUCAACAUCUACAUGGUGAAGAAAGCAAUUCCCAUUACCAUUCUCACAAGCAAUGCCUAGUGAAAGCUGAUGCUACCUUUAAUGAAGAAAGCUCACUGUGCCAUCUGAAGCGAUGGUAAAAUUUAAUUCUUACAAUGUGUCCGACAACCUGUACUGUGUGGAGGUGCCACUAUAUAAUUAUAUAUUUGAUAACUAAAUACUUAGUCACCUACUAGCUUCUUGGC